RNAcentral lists this long non-coding RNA (1599 nucleotides) under Mus spicilegus (steppe mouse). RNAcentral's name for it is "lncRNA (ENSMSIG00000015484.1)". The record is from RNAcentral. Lineage: Eukaryota; Metazoa; Chordata; Mammalia; Rodentia; Muridae.
GGCAGAUGUGUAACAGUUGUGAACAGUAGGAAGUUAUAGAUGCCAUAUUGGGGAGAGGAGGUUGAAAGGACCACAGAGGGAGCAUAUCCUCCCUGUGCAGUUGGCUCCAUUUUAUCCCGGUCCAUACCCAGAGGCUAAAGAACUAAGCAAUAGCAUUAAGGCAAGAUGUCUUGAUUGUAUGGCUGAUGAAGGAUGGAGUCUUUGGCUGUCGCUCGCUUCGCAUGAUCCAUCCCUCCGUAGGAACACCGGUAACUGUCUAGGUAGCUGCUCUCUGGCUCACUGCUAAUUUUGCUCUCACCACAAACCAUCACAUGGCCUCUUGUUUCUGUCUUCCACGCAACAGUUCUUUUUGAAAUCCUGAUCUCAUUGUGUUUUAACUUGUUCUUUUCUCAUAAUUUUCUUCUCCUUCAUAAAGGCCAUGUCCUCUUCUAGUCUGCUAAAGCUGUAAAACUUUCCCCCUAGAAUUCUUUUAUGAUUCCUGAAACAUUCUUAGAGGUACACUUUCCUACUCGGCUUCUGGAUGCUACUUUGUUGUUUCCUUUUCUCUUCAGGGUCCUGGAAGCUUGCAUGGCAGAGAAGAAAAUCUGUUCUGACCUCAUAGUUGCCAGCAGGUACAGCAAGGUUCCUAGACAUAUAAGGUCACCAUGCCUCCAAACAAGAAAUCGAGAAAAUGCUUACUGUGUUGGACAUGAAUAUCUGACACAGCCAGACAUGGUGAUGCAGUUUUAAUGCCAGCACUUGGGAGGCAGAAGCAAGCAGUGAGUUCGAAGUCAGCUUGGUCUUGUAAGUACUUGUCUCAGAAGCAAACAAACCUGAUAUAAGCUACUUAAGUGUGGGCCUGGGUACCAGAGGCUUUCCACGGAGAUCUCUGGUCCCGCCAGGUGCGAGGGUUCCUGUGAAGGGAAGCCUGUGCAGGCAGGGAGGGGAAGUCGCUUCCACCGCUGCUUCUGCUGCUGCGGUUGGCUCCACCUCCGUCUCUGCCCUGCCUCCAGGUUACUCGGUUACAGCAGUGCGCUGCCCUGCACUGAGUCGGGUAGGGCUAGGUCAACCAGAGGCUGACUAGCCAGUGAGGAGUGCGGCAGAUCGUCAGGCGGCGUUUCGGAAGAGCAGACCUCUUCCCAAGUGUACGGCUCUUUGGACAGAAGGCUGGGACCCAGGGGUAGUUCUCGCACCCCUAAUCCUUCCAGAUAGGAUUCUUAUAUACAGUUUUGGGGUGGUUAAGGGUCUGACAACAGGCACUUCUCAUUGGUUUGUCUGAGAGCUUUGGGGAAACCUUAUUUGCAUGUGGAAGGAGGUGACUAAUGGCUACAUACAUCUCUGCAGGGGGCUGUGGGAGGCUGUAGCAGUGACAGGAGCCAGGGGCCCAGGAGGCAUGGUCAAACACCUUCUGUCCUAUGCAGGUGGAAAUCACCACCCACUGGGUCACAGGGGUUCCAAACCUUUGUUCCACCAGGGAUCAGGCUGUCUGUGCACAGCCCACCACCCCACACACUCAAUCAGAGUGGGGGUGAAGUUGAGGAGCAACUUUAUUUCAAGGUAAACAGGAAACGGGGGAUAAAGGAGGGGCCAGGAUAAGGGAGAGCCUUGUGGUAGUUUAAG